Molecule: long non-coding RNA, 304 nt
Filed under: Felis catus (domestic cat)
Lineage: Eukaryota; Metazoa; Chordata; Mammalia; Carnivora; Felidae
Description: lncRNA (ENSFCAG00000051295.1)
Source: RNAcentral
AUGGAAAGUUUUUUGUAUCUCGCAUCCAUGAAAUACAGCCAGAUCAACACUAAACCCUCCUGCACACCUAGAAAACUAAUUGGAGGAUUAACACCACAAUCUUCACAACCUGAACCACAGAACUCAGCAGAAAGCCAGCUUAUUGGAGGACCCACUCGUAGUUAUCAAUAAAAGGAGUGUAGCUCUCUGCUAGUGAGGCUUUGUCCAUGCUUCUUCAUCAUCUGGCAGGUAAGAUGUGCUUAACAAAUAUUUGAUGAAUGAGCAAAUGAAUAAAUAAAUAAAGCAUUCAACUCUGAAGGACGUC